RNAcentral lists this ribosomal RNA (397 nucleotides) under uncultured bacterium. RNAcentral's name for it is "partial 16S ribosomal RNA". It matches the Rfam family "Bacterial small subunit ribosomal RNA", at positions 523 to 918 of the family's 1533-position model. The record is from RNAcentral.
AUACGUAGGUGGCAAGCGUUGUCCGGAUUUAUUGGGCGUAAAGCGAGCGCAGGCGGUUUCUUAAGUCUGAUGUGAAAGCCCCCGGCUCAACCGGGGAGGGUCAUUGGAAACUGGGAGACUUGAGUGCAGAAGAGGAGAGUGGAAUUCCAUGUGUAGCGGUGAAAUGCGUAGAUAUAUGGAGGAACACCAGUGGCGAAGGCGACUCUCUGGUCUGUAACUGACGCUGAGGCUCGAAAGCGUGGGGAGCAAACAGGAUUAGAUACCCUGGUAGUCCACGCCGUAAACGAUGAGUGCUAAGUGUUGGAGGGUUUCCGCCCUUCAGUGCUGCAGCUAACGCAUUAAGCACUCCGCCUGGGGGGUACGACCGCAAGGUUGAAACUCAAAUGAAUUGACGGGG